AGUGAACGCUGGCGGUAGGCCUAACACAUGCAAGUCGAACGGCAGCACAGUAAGAGCUUGCUCUUACGGGUGGCGAGUGGCGGACGGGUGAGGAAUACAUCGGAAUCUACUUUUUCGUGGGGGAUAACGUAGGGAAACUUACGCUAAUACCGCAUACGACCUACGGGUGAAAGCAGGGGAUCUUCGGACCUUGCGCGAUUGAAUGAGCCGAUGUCGGAUUAGCUAGUUGGCGGGGUAAAGGCCCACCAAGGCGACGAUCCGUAGCUGGUCUGAGAGGAUGAUCAGCCACACUGGAACUGAGACACGGUCCAGACUCCUACGGGAGGCAGCAGUGGGGAAUAUUGGACAAUGGGCGCAAGCCUGAUCCAGCCAUACCGCGUGGGUGAAGAAGGCCUUCGGGUUGUAAAGCCCUUUUGUUGGGAAAGAAAAGCAGCAGGUUAAUACCCCGCUGUUCGGACGGUACCCAAAGAAUAAGCACCGGCUAACUUCGG
RNAcentral lists this ribosomal RNA (491 nucleotides) under uncultured bacterium. RNAcentral's name for it is "partial 16S ribosomal RNA". It matches the Rfam family "Bacterial small subunit ribosomal RNA", at positions 29 to 506 of the family's 1533-position model. The record is from RNAcentral.